RNAcentral lists this ribosomal RNA (1392 nucleotides) under Pedobacter sp. b3W6a-b1. Its description in RNAcentral is "bacterial SSU rRNA". It matches the Rfam family "Bacterial small subunit ribosomal RNA". Lineage: Bacteria; Pseudomonadati; Bacteroidota; Sphingobacteriia; Sphingobacteriales; Sphingobacteriaceae. The record is from RNAcentral.
AUGCAAGUCGAGGGGGAUCCGGGAGCUUGCUCCCGGUGAGACCGGCGCACGGGUGCGUAACGCGUAUGCAACCUGCCUCCGUCUGGGGGAUAGCCCGGAGAAAUCCGGAUUAACACCGCAUAAAAACACAGUACAGCAUUGUACAAUGUUCAAAUAUUCAUAGGACGGAGAUGGGCAUGCGUGCCAUUAGCUGGUUGGCGGGGUAACGGCCCACCAAGGCGACGAUGGCUAGGGGAUCUGAGAGGAUGGCCCCCCACACUGGUACUGAGACACGGACCAGACUCCUACGGGAGGCAGCAGUAAGGAAUAUUGGUCAAUGGGGGCAACCCUGAACCAGCCAUGCCGCGUGCAGGAAGACAGCCCUACGGGUCGUAAACUGCUUUUGUACGGGAACAAACCCCUCCUCGUGAGGAGGGCUGAGCGUACCGUAAGAAUAAGGAUCGGCUAACUCCGUGCCAGCAGCCGCGGUAAUACGGAGGAUCCGAGCGUUAUCCGGAUUUAUUGGGUUUAAAGGGAGCGUAGGCGGCCCGUUAAGUCAGGGGUGAAAGACGGUGGCUCAACCAUCGCAGUGCCUUUGAUACUGACGGGCUUGAAUACACCUGAGGUAGGCGGAAUGUGGCAAGUAGCGGUGAAAUGCAUAGAUAUGCCACAGAACACCGAUUGCGAAGGCAGCUUACUAAAGUGUGAUUGACGCUGAGGCUCGAAAGCGUGGGGAUCAAACAGGAUUAGAUACCCUGGUAGUCCACGCCCUAAACGAUGAUAACUCGAUGUCGGCGAUAUACGGCCGGCGUCCAAGCGAAAGCGUUAAGUUAUCCACCUGGGGAGUACGCCCGCAAGGGUGAAACUCAAAGGAAUUGACGGGGGCCCGCACAAGCGGAGGAGCAUGUGGUUUAAUUCGAUGAUACGCGAGGAACCUUACCCGGGCUUGAAAGUUACUGAAGGCACUGGAGACAGUGCCGUCCCUCGGGACAGGAAACUAGGUGCUGCAUGGCUGUCGUCAGCUCGUGCCGUGAGGUGUUGGGUUAAGUCCCGCAACGAGCGCAACCCCUAUGUUUAGUUGCCAGCAUGUCAAGGUGGGGACUCUAAACAGACUGCCUACGUAAGUAGAGAGGAAGGUGGGGACGACGUCAAGUCAUCAUGGCCCUUACGUCCGGGGCUACACACGUGCUACAAUGGACGGUACAGAGGGCAGCCACCCCGCAAGGGGGCGCGAAUCUCACAAAGCCGUUCACAGUUCGGAUCGGGGUCUGCAACUCGACCCCGUGAAGUUGGAUUCGCUAGUAAUCGCGUAUCAGCAAUGACGCGGUGAAUACGUUCCCGGGCCUUGUACACACCGCCCGUCAAGCCAUGGAAGCCGGGGGCGCCUAAAGUCCGUGACCGCAAGGAGCGGCC